AGCCCAGCUUGCUGGGGUGGAUUAGUGGCGAACGGGUGAGUAACACGUGAGUACCUGCCCUUAACUCUGGGAUAAGCCUGGGAAACUGGGUCUAAUACCGGAUAGGAGCGUCCACCGCAUGGGGGGUGUUGGAAAGAUUUAUCGGUUUUGGAUGGACUCGCGGCCUAUCAGCUUGUUGGUGAGGUAAUGGCUCACCAAGGCGACGACGGGUAGCCGGCCUGAGAGGGUGACCGGCCACACUGGGACUGAGACACGGCCCAGACUCCUACGGGAGGCAGCAGUGGGGAAUAUUGCACAAUGGGCGAAAGCCUGAUGCAGCGACGCCGCGUGAGGGGAUGACGGCCUUCGGGUUGUAAACCCCUUUCAGUAGGGAAGAAGCGAAAGUGACGGUACCUGCAGAAGAAGCACCGGCUAACUACGUGCCAGCAGCCGCGGUAAUACGUAGGGUGCGAGCGUUAUCCGGAAUUAUUGGGCGUAAAGAGCUCGUAGGCGGUUUGUCGCGUCUGUCGUGAAAGUCCGGGGCUUAACCCCGGAUCUGCGGUGGGUACGGGCAGACUAGAGUGCAGUAGGGGAGACUGGAAUUCCUGGUGUAGCGGUGGAAUGCGCAGAUAUCAGGAGGAACACCGAUGGCGAAGGCAGGUCUCUGGGCUGUAACUGACGCUGAGGAGCGAAAGCAUGGGGAGCGAACAGGAUUAGAUACCCUGGUAGUCCAUGCCGUAAACGUUGGGCACUAGGUGUGGGGACCAUUCCACGGUUUCCGCGCCGCAGCUAACGCAUUAAGUGCCCCGCCUGGGGAGUACGGCCGCAAGGCUAAAACUCAAAGGAAUUGACGGGGGCCCGCACAAGCGGCGGAGCAUGCGGAUUAAUUCGAUGCAACGCGAAGAACCUUACCAAGGCUUGACAUGUUCUCGAUCGCCGUAGAGAUACGGUUUCCCCUUUGGGGCGGGUUCACAGGUGGUGCAUGGUUGUCGUCAGCUCGUGUCGUGAGAUGUUGGGUUAAGUCCCGCAACGAGCGCAACCCUCGUUCCAUGUUGCCAGCACGUAGUGGUGGGGACUCAUGGGAGACUGCCGGGGUCAACUCGGAGGAAGGUGAGGACGACGUCAAAUCAUCAUGCCCCUUAUGUCUUGGGCUUCACGCAUGCUACAAUGGCCGGUACAAUGGGUUGCGAUACUGUGAGGUGGAGCUAAUCCCAAAAAGCCGGUCUCAGUUCGGAUUGGGGUCUGCAACUCGACCCCAUGAAGUCGGAGUCGCUAGUAAUCGCAGAUCAGCAACGCUGCGGUGAAUACGUUCCCGGGCCUUGUACACACCGCCCGUCAAGUCACGAAAGUUGGUAACACCGAA
RNAcentral lists this ribosomal RNA (1342 nucleotides) under Micrococcus luteus. RNAcentral's name for it is "bacterial SSU rRNA". It matches the Rfam family "Bacterial small subunit ribosomal RNA", at positions 72 to 1424 of the family's 1533-position model. Lineage: Bacteria; Bacillati; Actinomycetota; Actinomycetes; Micrococcales; Micrococcaceae. The record is from RNAcentral.